This 65-nucleotide transfer RNA is filed under the name Hemigrapsus sinensis. RNAcentral's name for it is "tRNA-Thr". It matches the Rfam family "tRNA". From Rfam's summary of the family: Transfer RNA (tRNA) molecules are approximately 80 nucleotides in length. Their secondary structure includes four short double-helical elements and three loops (D, anti-codon, and T loops). The record is from RNAcentral. Lineage: Eukaryota; Metazoa; Arthropoda; Malacostraca; Decapoda; Varunidae.
GUUUUUAUAGUUUAUAAUUGAAAACGUUGGUCUUGUAAACCAAAAAAGAAUUUUUUCUAAAAACU